This 897-nucleotide long non-coding RNA is filed under the name Nicotiana tabacum (common tobacco). RNAcentral's name for it is "long non-coding RNA (NTAB_LNC000738)". The record is from RNAcentral. Lineage: Eukaryota; Viridiplantae; Streptophyta; Magnoliopsida; Solanales; Solanaceae.
AACCUAUUACAUUUUUCUACACAAACAAGUUAUUAUACAACCUAUUAUGUGCACUGGUGGUGAAAUUUUUUUUUUUGGUACAACUUAACUUAUUAUAGGAGGUUACUUUUCAUUUCUCAGCCAUACAAGCAAUUACUUAUUAUAGCAAUUGCCGUGCAUUGGUACCUGUAGAUGCUCUUACAAUAUCAGUGUUUUGAACUUGAACUUUUCAUACAAAGGGCAACUUCACAAGGUGAACAAUGUUUCCCAUGCUUAUUAUCACAAAUUACAAAUUGUUUUACACACAACCAAAAGAAAACAAUUUAAUAGUGAAAAUAAAAAGGAAGCUACCUUGAAAACAAAUCAGGCAAACACAGAGAUAAAUCACAACACAACAACAUUUUACAACCCAAUGAUUGAAAAUUAAGGAUUAAAACAGGAGACACUAGCUAGCAAAUCUUGAUGCAUUUCCCUCUCUAAUUACACUUGAAACCUGUGGGAAUGGUCUUAGCACAAGCACUAACCAAAGCACUAAGUGCAACAGGGAUAUCCAAUUUGACAAUUCCAAGCACAUUAGCCUUAAUUGCAGUGCAAAGGCAAGCUGCAACUUCCAAAUCAGCUAAACCUUGAAGCAAUGAGCAACAAGGACUUGUCACUUGACUCCCAAUUGCUACAUUAACAAGCCCAAGUACAUCAGCACAAACACCAAGCUUCAAUGUGUCCCUUGGGCAAAAGGGGUUGGCUGGGGGUGCUUUCUUUGGUGAUGGCUUUGGCUUGAUUGGUUCACUGCAUGGACCACAAGCAGUAGUGAAUGUGGCAACAAGGAGAAGGGAAAGAAUGAAAAUGGUGGAGGAGAAACUGGCCAUGACUGUAGAGAGUUUUAGUAGCUAGGCUUCUAAGAUUAGGGGUAGGUGCUCU